Molecule: non-coding RNA, 83 nt
Filed under: Nocardioides sp.
Lineage: Bacteria; Bacillati; Actinomycetota; Actinomycetes; Propionibacteriales; Nocardioidaceae
Source: RNAcentral
GGGGAAGCCGGUCAGAUCCCGGCGCUGACCCGCAACCGUAGGCCGUCCGACCCUCCCAGGGUCGGGGGCGAGCCGGAGCACCC